Non-coding RNA from Bos taurus (domestic cattle), 73 nucleotides. The record is from Rfam. NCBI's taxonomy places the organism in Eukaryota, Metazoa, Chordata, Mammalia, Artiodactyla, Bovidae.
UCCCUGAUGGCUCAGAUGGUAAAGCAUCUGCCUGCAAAGUGGGAAAGCCAGGUUGGAUGCCUGGGUCAGGAAG